CCUACGGGUGGCAGCAGUGAGGAAUAUUGGUCAAUGGGCGCGAGCCUGAACCAGCCAAGUAGCGUGAAGGAUGACUGCCCUACGGGUUGUAAACUUCUUUUAUAAAGGAAUAAAGUGAGGCUCGUGAGCCUCUUUGUAUGUACUUUAUGAGUAAGGAUCGGAUAACUCCGUGCCAGCAGCCGCGGUAAUACGGAGGAGCCGAGCGUUAUCCGGAUUUAUUGGGUUUAAAGGGAGCGUAGAUGGGUUGUUAAGUCAGUUGUGAAAGUUUGCGGCGUAACCGUAAAAUUGCAAUUGAUACUGGCAGUCUUGAGUACAGUUGAGGUAGGCGGAAUUCGUGGUGUAGCGGUGAAAUGCGUAGAUAUCACGAAGAACUCCGAUGGCGAAGGCAGCUUACUAAACUGCAACUGACAUUGAUGCUCGAAAGUGUGGGUAUCAAACAGGAUUAGAUACCCGUGUAGUC
RNAcentral lists this ribosomal RNA (460 nucleotides) under uncultured bacterium. RNAcentral describes it as "partial 16S ribosomal RNA". It matches the Rfam family "Bacterial small subunit ribosomal RNA", at positions 338 to 795 of the family's 1533-position model. The record is from RNAcentral.